RNAcentral lists this ribosomal RNA (554 nucleotides) under Candida tropicalis. Its description in RNAcentral is "partial large subunit ribosomal RNA". It matches the Rfam family "Eukaryotic large subunit ribosomal RNA", at positions 45 to 604 of the family's 3401-position model. The record is from RNAcentral. Lineage: Eukaryota; Fungi; Ascomycota; Pichiomycetes; Serinales; Debaryomycetaceae.
AAAAAGCGGAGGAAAAGAAACCAACAGGGAUUGCCUUAGUAGCGGCGAGUGAAGCGGCAAAAGCUCAAAUUUGAAAUCUGGCUCUUUCAGAGUCCGAGUUGUAAUUUGAAGAAGGUAUCUUUGGGUCUGGCUCUUGUCUAUGUUUCUUGGAACAGAACGUCACAGAGGGUGAGAAUCCCGUGCGAUGAGAUGAUCCAGGCCUAUGUAAAGUUCCUUCGAAGAGUCGAGUUGUUUGGGAAUGCAGCUCUAAGUGGGUGGUAAAUUCCAUCUAAAGCUAAAUAUUGGCGAGAGACCGAUAGCGAACAAGUACAGUGAUGGAAAGAUGAAAAGAACUUUGAAAAGAGAGUGAAAAAGUACGUGAAAUUGUUGAAAGGGAAGGGCUUGAGAUCAGACUUGGUAUUUUGUAUGUUACUUCUUCGGGGGUGGCCUCUACAGUUUAUCGGGCCAGCAUCAGUUUGGGCGGUAGGAGAAUUGCGUUGGAAUGUGGCACGGCUUCGGUUGUGUGUUAUAGCCUUCGUCGAUACUGCCAGCCUAGACUGAGGACUGCGGUUAUA